CCUACGGGAGGCAGCAGUGGGGAAUAUUGCACAAUGGGGGAAACCCUGAUGCAGCAACGCCGCGUGAGUGAAGAAGUAUUUCGGUAUGUAAAGCUCUAUCAGCAGGGAAGAGAAUGACGGUACCUGACUAAGAAACCCCGGCCAACUCCGUGCCAGCAGCCGCGGGCAUACUGAGGGGGCGAGCGUUAUCCGGAUUUACUGGGUGUAAAGGGAGCGUAGACGGUUGGUCAAGUCUGAAGUGAAAGCCCGGGGCUUAACCCUGGAAGGGCGUUGGAAACUGAGCGGCUAGAGUGCUGGAGAGGAAAGCGGAAUGCCGAGUGUAGCGGUGAAAUGCGUAGAGAUAAGGAGGAACACCAGUGGCGAAGGCGGCUUACUGGACAGUAACUGACGUUGAGGCGCGAAAGCGUGGGGAGCAAACAGGAUUAGAUACCCGGGUAGUC
Molecule: ribosomal RNA, 440 nt
Filed under: uncultured bacterium
Lineage: Bacteria
Description: partial 16S ribosomal RNA
Rfam family: Bacterial small subunit ribosomal RNA
Source: RNAcentral